This 611-nucleotide ribosomal RNA is filed under the name Chaetothyriales sp. AR-2010. RNAcentral describes it as "eukaryotic LSU rRNA". The stretch from base 224 to 377 matches the Rfam family "5.8S ribosomal RNA". Lineage: Eukaryota; Fungi; Ascomycota; Eurotiomycetes; Chaetothyriales. The record is from RNAcentral.
GGAAGUAAAAGUCGUAACAAGGUCUCCGUUGGUGAACCAGCGGAGGGAUCAUUAUCGAGUUACUCAACUCCCAAAACCCUGUGAACUUUACCACUGUUGCUUCGGCGGAGUCGUCCCGGGUGCGCUCGAAAGGGCGUGUCCCGGAUCCAUGGCGCCCGCCGGGGGACCUAAACUCUUGUUUUUAUAAUGGUAUCUUCUGAGUGGCAUAAGCAAAAUAAAUCAAAACUUUCAGCAACGGAUCUCUUGGUUCUGGCAUCGAUGAAGAACGCAGCGAAAUGCGAUAAGUAAUGUGAAUUGCAGAAUUCAGUGAAUCAUCGAAUCUUUGAACGCACAUUGCGCCCGGUAGUACUCUACCGGGCAUGCCUGUCCGAGCGUCAUUUCAACCCUCGGGACCCGUUUCGGCGGGACCCGGCGUUGGGGAUCGGCCGUCCUUUGCGGCGCGCCGGCCCCGAAAUACAGUGGCGGUCUCGUUGUGACUCCCCUGCGUAGUAGUAACAUCUCGCAUGUGGAUAGUGACGCGGCCACGCCGUAAAACCCCCAACUUUUACCAAGGUUGACCUCGGAUCAGGUAGGAAUACCCGCUGAACUUAAGCAUAUCAAUAAGCGGAGGA